UUUUUUAAAAUUACUUUUAUUUUUUUAUCUUCAAUACCUUCGCUGGAACAAGAACCAACAUAUAAGCAACUACUUUGGUCACUUGAGUAAUUCUCCUUGGCAGAAGUAGGAUUUGCAAUUUCAGUGGCUUCUAAUUAGCCAACACGAGACGUAACACUCCUUCCUGCACAUGGGAUGGAGAAGAAAAGGAGUUCUAAAAAUUUCCUGCAGCAGAUAAAUACAGUAAAAGAACUCCAUUAUCUUCUUGUGUCUUCUCCUUCUCAAACUCCACCAAGAACAAAGGAAAAUCUAAUUGAGAAAAAAUGGAGAGUAACUUAACAAUGUAUCAAGCUAAGAAAUAGCACAUUUAACAUCUAAAUUUUCACGAAUUCAAAUACCAAAAAAAUAAAAUUGAACAAAUUUAAACAAGAUAAUCACACAAAAUACACCGAAUUGAAGAGAAAUUAACCAUUAGAAACUCAGUCACACAAAAUUGAAAAAAUUCAGAUAAGCUAAUUAUCAAAAAUGUAUUGGAUCGAAGAAAAAUUAAGUAGCAGAAAUUUAAAAUAAAAAAUGUAUUUAGCAAAAAAUUUAGGUGAGAAAUGAAAGUAACAAAGCAUCCAGAUGAAUAAUAACACCUUUUAUAGCUUAAAUAGAUGGCAGGUGAAGGAAUGAGGAAAAAGAAAAAAGAGAAAAAAAUGAAAUUAUUAGGAAGAAAAAGUGUGGAAGAAGGAGAAAGAGAUUUUUUUUUACAAAAAAGCUCUUUAAAUGUGCUCAAAAGUCGUGUAUUAUACGUCCUAUGCCCAGUUAGCAAAAGUAUCAAAAUAACAAUUGGAGACUGAUUUAGGUGUUUAAAAUGAACAACAUCUACUUUAGGUGUUAAAGUGAAAGUUUAUGGUAAGUUUAAAGACCCGGCAAUGUGUUUGACAUUUAAUUAAUAUAAUCUUAUUUGAUGUUUAUGCCUUUCAACUUUGGAUACGUAUAAAUAGAUACUUAAAUUUGUAUAAAGUUGAAAAGGUAGACAUAAUGAAAAUUUACGUCUUACAUAUAUUAUGUCACUUAAGACACGUGUCUAUACAAGUUUAAUUGCUUAUUAUGCACAUUCAAAAUUGAAGAAUAUAAAUGUCAGCCGAGACCAAGUCAAAGAGUAUGUUUAUGUAUUAGGCCAAAUCCACCGAUAGCCCCGUAAACUUGGCACGAUCUUUCACUUUGGCACCUUAACUAGACGUUGUUCACUUUUGACACCUCAAGUAGCCAUAAACUGUGUCAAUUUGGCACCUUUGGCUGAUUUAGCAAAGAGAGUGUAUUACACUCGCUUUUGGACGCGUUUCAGGGUUAUUUUCAUAAUUUUUUAGGGGCAUUUUUGUAAUUUUUCAUCUUUAAUUUUUUUUUAAAAAUUAUACAUAAAGGGUGUGUUUGGUAUGAAGGAAAAUGUUUUCCUGGAAAACAAGUUGAUUUUUUACUUGUUUUCUUAUAUUUGGUUAGUGGAUGGAAAUAUUUUUCAAAAAAUAUUUUCUAGUAUUUGGUUGGUGAAUGAAAAAAUAUUUUUCAAAAAAUACAUUUUAGUGUUUAGCUAAAGCGUAAAAAUACAUUUUAGAAUCAUUUUUUAAAAAAUAAAUUAAAAAAAAUUAAAGCUUUUUUGGGGAAGGGGAUUGGUAGGUGGGUGGGUGGGGGUGUCAGAAUAGGUAGUAGGGGUGGGGUAAGAAAAAUUUUUAAAUUUGUUUUAUUAAAAAGAAAUUUAAAAAUUGACGGGGGGAGGGGGGUUAGUAGGAGCUGGGGAUCAGGGAAGUGAGGAGGAAGGGGGAAGAAAAAAAUUAUUUUUUUAAAAAAAUAAAUUUAAUUUUUUUUUUAGGUUGUUGGGAGGGGAAGGGAUGGGAUAGGGGGCUGGUAAGGGGGAUGUUGGGUAGUGGAAAAUCAUCUUUCGGACUGGCUUUGUUCAAAUCAUGGUAAUCAACACACACUCGAAUUUUGCCAUCUUUCUUCGGUAUGGGAACAACAUUGGAUAACCACAUGGGAUAGCGAGCUACUCGAAUUACUUUGGCUUCAAGUUGCUUCAUGAUUUUCUCUUUAAUUUUAAUACUUACAUCUGUUUUAAACUUCCUCAACUUCUGUUUGACAGGAGGGAACGCGGGAUCAGUUGGCAAUUUGAAUGAAUAUGUAUCUUUUUGUUUUGUUAUUGUGGUGUUAAAAUUUCAGUCUCAUUCAAUAUUUUUAUUUUUAUUUCUUUAGUUAUCAUCCUCUAUGAAUUUUAAAGACUACGAGAAUAAAAACUUUAAAGUACUAUAUUUAAGUAAAUACUUAACUGGACUGCGUAAAGUGAAAUAUUUGAUUGGGUAGUGCAAGUUGAUAAAGUGUUUUUUUAAUAUAAACAAAUCAUUCUAUUUGUGCACUAUUUGCAGGUUUUGAAAAUAAUAUAUAUAUAUAUUCCUUGAUGUAAUUUCAUUAUUUUCUUUUUACAUGUAGUUUGUUUAAUGAAUAAAAUUUAAAUGGUAAAAUUAAUAUUUUGAUCUCAAUAUUUUCUAUUUAUAACUUUAAUCUGUUUAAAUGUGCAAAUCUCUCUGAAUAUAUAUAUAUAUAUAUAUAUUUUCCUAUAUAUAUAUAUAUAUAGGAAGGAUAUGAGACUGUUGAUGUGACGUGCUUCUAAAGCUACCAUUCUCAUUUAUCUUUUUUGUGAUUAUUUUAACCUUUUUUAUUUUAAUUAUUUUACUGAGCGUUAAUUAAACAUAAUAGCCACAAUUAAUGGCUAUUAUUUGCAUUAAAGUUCAAAACGUUCACUACAUUAUUACCAUUAUUUAACUUUUUCAACUAUUAAAAUUAGAUGAAUAGGUAUACAUACUUUUUCCUCUUUAUGGUUGUUGUCCGUUUUUCAUAUUGCAAAGAUACACUUUUAUUGACCAUAAUUGAGUCAAUCAAUAUUGUCCAUUAUGAUCCUUGAAUUAUCAUAAUAAUAGUGACUUAAUUCUUCUUCUUAUGAUCAUCUUUUUUUUUUCUCUCUAUAAUGUUGCAUAUUUUGUCAAAAUAUAGGUUAAUUCUAAAAUUGAUAUCAAUUUUUACUCUUCAUUUCUCAAAUCUUGUGCGUAGCAUUUGAUUUAGUGCAUCGAACUCUCUUUUUAAUGUUUUGCUUACAUAAAUUAUUGAUUGUACAAUACCAAUCGACAUUAUCUUUAUAGACGAGAAUGUACCCUCGCGGUCACUCUUCGAUCCCAAUAUUUAGCCAAAAAAUGGCUUAUAAAUUUUAUUAAUAAUUUUAUAAAAUUACUACGCGAAGCACGGUUAAAUUUACUAGUUCCCUAUAAUCUUGGAUUAGUGUGCGAUUAAUGUUACUUUUAGUUUAACUUAACAAGGAUGGUACGAAAGCUUCUAGAAAUUAACUUGCUAAAAUCAUCUUUCUCCGUCAACUACCCCAACUCCGCCGUCAAAAAUCCGAACUCUGCCGACCUCCGCCAUUAUCGGAGACUGUACACAAAUUGUAAUACAAAAGAACAGCUGGGUAGUGCAAUGGCUUCCUUUAAAUCAAAGCUAUUUUAUGCAUCCAAUUGCUAGCUUUCCUUAUCGGAGUUUACAGAGAGUUCGAUUACUUUAAGUUAUCUCUUUUACGGCCUGGUACGGCUUGCCGAAAUACUACUCGAUGUUGCUCUUCCAAUGCCUGUUGCCGGUACAAAGCGGGGGCAGGGGGAGUGUUUGCAGAAGAGGGGAAGAAGAUGAUUGGGGUAGGGGGAGGGGGCGGGGUGUUUGCAGAAGAGAAAGGGGGAAGAAAAUGAUUGGGGGGAAUGGGGUGCGGAGUGUUUGAAGAAGAUGACCGGCGAGGUGGGUGGGUUAGAGGGAGGAGUUAUUUUUUAAAAAAUAUUUGGAUAAAAAAUGACUAAUGUCUUAUUAUUAUUGGUCACUUUACACGUCAGCACGCAUGUAAUACACAUAUCCAAUAUAUUUUUAUGAAUUGUAUAUAAAGUGCCAAAAUGACACAUACGUACACUACAUGAGGUGUCAAAAGUGAACAACGUUCACUUGAGCUGCCAAAGUGAAAGAUGAUGCCCAGUUGAAGGGUCUGUCGAUGUAUUUUGCCUUACAUUGGUACUCUACUAUAUUAUUUCCUCCGUUUAAAGAUAAUUGAAUUGUUGGAAUAUGAAACACAUUUUAAGAAAAAAAGGCAAAGAUAUAAAUUAGUCAUGUUUUUUUAUUUUUGCCCUUUUCAAACUCCAAAACAUUAGUAAUGAUCAUUAGAAUUCAUCCUUAAAAAUUUAAUUAAUGAAGGGUAAAUUUGAAAAAAGUUUCCAACAUCUAUCUUGAAUAAUGAACAAUUCAAUUAUUUUGAAUACUAAAAAAUACUCCAACAAUUCAAUUAUUUUAGAACGGAGGGAGUAAUACAUAAAGCCAAGUAUUCGAUAGACCCUUAAAAUUAUUUUGAGAGUUCACUUAGAUACAUCGAUUGAUCCUCUUUCCUAUUAGACACUAUAAUAUUAACAAAUAAAUAUCUAUUAAACAUUCUUCUGAUAAUUAGUAAAAGAAAGAAGUAUCUGUAACCUACGCGCAAAUGAUGUGGCAAAGUCACAAAUCAAAGAGAAAAGACAUAAAGACAUCAUUGAAGUUGUCCCAAAUUUUUAAAAAGACACUUAAAAUUUACGGGCAUUCUAUUACCUCCUAAACAAUUUUGAAAUAUAUUAAUAUAUCUUUUUGAAAUCAAUCCCAAUUUUUUUAAAAAAAGUGCUAAACGCGCACCAAUCACUGAUUGACACAUGUUAAUUUAUUUAUAAAUAUAUUUUUAUUUUUCUCUUUUUAUUUUUUCUCUCUCUUAUUCUUUAACUUUUUUCCUUCUCUCUUACCCAAUUUCCUUCCUCCACGCCAGUCAAUACCCUCACCUCCAAAUUCCACACACAUUCUUGUUCUUUUCUUCCUCAAUUGAUUCCAUUUCUUUCGUUCCACAGUCCAAACCUACCAUAAUCAACCUUUAAACUUAAAAAUAAUAACCACUUUAUUUAUUUUGUGUGUGUAAUUAUAAUUGUAGUGAGUUUAGAAAAUUAAGAUUGAACAUAAUUUUUUAAAUUUAUUUUGUUAGUUAUUUUUUAUCCUUCAAUUUCAUACGAAAAUCAAUGAUUUUUAUAAUUAUUUAUGAUUUCUUUUAUUAAAAUUUUUAGCUCACUUAAACAUUAAUUUCUUCCACCAUUAUAAUUCAGCAAUCUGACAAAAUUUUAUCACUUUUUAGGCGUCAAAAAAUACCUUUUCGUCAGAAAAAUGAUGGCUAACAUACCAUGUCCUUUUUUAAGUAUCUUUAUCAUUUUUAUUGAAAAAUAAACAUCGAUCACGAUAAAAUUUAUCAUCGCUCCAUUAAUGAAGAGGAAGAGAAAGUAAAAAAACAAGACACCAUUGAUGGAGAAAAGGGAAGAAACAAAAGCAAAAAAAUAGAAAAGGAGAAAAAAAAUACUAAAAUAUAAAAAGAAAAAAGUGAAACCUUUUUAUUACAUGUGGCAUUUUUUAAUUUGUUGGUUCAACAAUUUUUUUACUCACGUGCGUCUCUUGCGUGAUAAAAUAUAUAGGUUGAAAAUUUAGUCAAAAUGAUCUAUUUAUAAUAAUUUUUAUAACUUUUGUGGGUAAUAGAUCUCCUGUAAAAUUAAGGUGUCUUUUUAAAAAUCUCAGAUAAAUUUGAUGGUGACUUUAUGUCUAUUCUCUAAAUCAAAUGAAGACAUAUAUGGAUUUUUAGACUUAAAAUAAUUAUAAAAAUAAAUUUUUAACGUAAAAUAAAUUCACCCUCACCCCCACCCCCACCCCCACCCCAAAAAAAGGAAAAUCCUAUUUAUACAACCCCUCCCCCCUCUCCCGCAGACCACCAGCCCCUUUUAUUCUCCUGAAAAUCACCAUUAUUGUCAUCCUCAUUCUUCUUAUUCUCCCUUAAUAAUUUUUCUUUUUUGAUAAAAUUUUGUGUGAUUGAAUAAUCUUCACCAAAUGUAAUCUCCCGCAGACCACCAGCCCCUUUUAUUCUCCUGAAAAUCACCAUUAUUGUCAUCCUCAUUCUUCUUAUUCUCCCUUAAUAAUUUUUCUUUUUUGAUAAAAUUUUGUGUGAUUGAAUAAUCUUCACCAAAUGUAAAGUUAGGUAAAAUAAAAUUUUUGAUAUUAAUAACGUCAAGAAAUUACAUCCACAAGUUCGUCGUUCUCAUCACUUCUUAAUUAAUGUUUAAGUCUGUAUUUUACGAUGAAAAUGAAAUUGAUUGUUAAAUCGAUUCUUAUCAGCUUCAUUGUUUGAAGCUCUUGAUUUUGGCAAAAGACAGGCAUCAAGAAAAAAUUUAAGAGUAACUUCUUUCGGACAUGAACAAAAAAAUUAUUACGAGAAGGUAUAUUGUAAAUAUUUGAUAUGGAGUGAUGAACUUAUGGUGGUGAAGUGGUACAUCAUUUCACCUUUGAAUUUAUCCGCAUAAAUCACUUAUAUCCUUAACUUCACGGGCAAUUAUAUACCUCUCUUAACAACUUUAAAUUAAAUUAAAUUUCACCCUAAGACUGUAAUAUCAGUCUCACUACGAAAGGUGUAUCACACAUACAACCACAUCAGUGCCACAUCAUUGCUACGUCAAAAAAUAUUUUAAUUUUAAUUUUUUCCUUCCCCUCUCUUUUUUCCAUAAAGGUACCCUCCAUCUCCAUUAAUGUCUUCUCUAUUGAUUAACUUCAUUUUUUGCUAAUUAAAGAAAUAAAAUUUGACCUUAAAAAUUUUUAAUUUUUAUAAAAUACAACUCCAUUUUAUUUUUAUUAUUGAGUUUGAUUUCUCUAAUUUAUUUGAGAAAAAAAUAAUUAAAAAAUAAAAAAUGAAACUAGAAGAAGAAGGAAUGGAGGGUGUUUGAAGAAGAAGAAGAAGACUGGGGUGUAUGGAUUUGAACGAGAAGAUUGAGAUUUUUGAAGAUAAAGAAGAGGAUGGGGAUGGGUGGAUUUGAAGAAGAUGAAAGAGGGUGGGUAGGGAGUAAUUUUUAUUUUUUUAUAAUUAUAUAAUAAUUUUAUUAAUGGUUGAAUUAUCUUUUUUUUUUUUUUCAAAUUAUGCGCUUUCAGUUUUUGUUUAUGCCACAUUAGCUUUAGGGGUGAAAUUUAUUCAUUCGAAAGUUGUUAAGAAAAUAUAUAAUUGUCGGUGAAGUUAAAGGUCUAAAGUAAGUCGUGCGGACAAAUUUAAGGGUGAAAUGAAUUAUUUUUUCAAAGAAAAUAAUAAUAAAGGUGUUUAAAUAUUGAUUCACACGCGUACUAAGGUGUGAAUCACACUUUUUACGCCAGAUAUGCAUAAAGGGCUCAAGUGGUUCAAAUUUGAAGUGAUAAGAGUGUUCAAUAGGUACAUAGGUCAGUUAAAGGAUCCAAGUGAAAUCUCAAAAUAAGUUUAAGGGCGUGUCGAUGACUUAAACCAUCGAUAAACAUGUCUUUUUAAUUAAGUUCAAACAAAUCAUCAUGCUCUUACAUUUGGCCCGAAUUUUUAUUUUAAUACUUAAUAUAGACAUUGUUCAUUUUAAAUACCUAAAUCAACCUCCAACUGUGUUAUUUUGACACUUUAAAUUCAUAUGCAACAGGUGAAAUUUUUUUUUUUUCUUUUUUUUUUAAAAUUACUUUUAUUUUUUUAUCUUCAAUACCUUCGCUGGAACAAGAACCAACAUAUAAGCAACUACUUUGGUCACUUGAGUAAUUCUCCUUGGCAGAAGUAGGAUUUGCAAUUUCAGUGGCUUCUAAUUAGCCAACACGAGACGUAACACUCCUUCCUGCACAUGGGAUGGAGAAGAAAAGGAGUUCUAAAAAUUUCCUGCAGCAGAUAAAUACAGUAAAAGAACUCCAUUAUCUUCUUGUGUCUUCUCCUUCUCAAACUCCACCAAGAACAAAGGAAAAUCUAAUUGAGAAAAAAUGGAGAGUAACUUAACAAUGUAUCAAGCUAAGAAAUAGCACAUUUAACAUCUAAAUUUUCACGAAUUCAAAUACCAAAAAAAUAAAAUUGAACAAAUUUAAACAAGAUAAUCACACAAAAUACACCGAAUUGAAGAGAAAUUAACCAUUAGAAACUCAGUCACACAAAAUUGAAAAAAUUCAGAUAAGCUAAUUAUCAAAAAUGUAUUGGAUCGAAGAAAAAUUAAGUAGCAGAAAUUUAAAAUAAAAAAUGUAUUUAGCAAAAAAUUUAGGUGAGAAAUGAAAGUAACAAAGCAUCCAGAUGAAUAAUAACACCUUUUAUAGCUUAAAUAGAUGGCAGGUGAAGGAAUGAGGAAAAAGAAAAAAGAGAAAAAAAUGAAAUUAUUAGGAAGAAAAAGUGUGGAAGAAGGAGAAAGAGAUUUUUUU
Molecule: long non-coding RNA, 8259 nt
Filed under: Capsicum annuum
Lineage: Eukaryota; Viridiplantae; Streptophyta; Magnoliopsida; Solanales; Solanaceae
Description: long non-coding RNA (CANN_LNC021695)
Source: RNAcentral